UGACGUAGGCAGCAAGCGUUUGUUCGGAGGUUACUGGGACGUAAAGGGUGUGGUAGGGCCUGGUUGGAUAAGUCGUGGUAGUGAAAUCUCCCGGGCUUAACUAGGGCAGGGUGCGCUACGAAACUGUCUGGACUAGGAGUGUGGGAUGGGUAAGUGGAAUCCUGGUCGGUAGCGGUGGAAAGUGACGUAGAUAUCAGGAGGAACACCGGUGGUGUGAACGGCUUU
Molecule: ribosomal RNA, 225 nt
Filed under: uncultured bacterium
Lineage: Bacteria
Description: partial 16S ribosomal RNA
Source: RNAcentral